This 301-nucleotide ribosomal RNA is filed under the name uncultured bacterium. RNAcentral describes it as "partial 16S ribosomal RNA". It matches the Rfam family "Bacterial small subunit ribosomal RNA", at positions 509 to 807 of the family's 1533-position model. The record is from RNAcentral.
CAGUCGCCGCGGUAAUACGGAGGGGGCUAGCGUUGUUCGGAAUUACUGGGCGUAAAGCGUACGUAGGCGGCUUUGUAAGUUAGAGGUGAAAGCCUGGUGCUCAACACCAGAACUGCCUUUAAGACUGCAUCGCUUGAACGUCGGAGAGGUGAGUGGAAUUCCGAGUGUAGAGGUGAAAUUCGUAGAUAUUCGGAAGAACACCAGUGGCGAAGGCGGCUCACUGGACGACUGUUGACGCUGAGGUACGAAAGCGUGGGGAGCAAACAGGAUUAGAUACCCCAGUAGUCCCUGUCUCUUAUAC